RNAcentral lists this ribosomal RNA (422 nucleotides) under Stutzerimonas stutzeri. RNAcentral's name for it is "bacterial SSU rRNA". It matches the Rfam family "Bacterial small subunit ribosomal RNA", at positions 30 to 450 of the family's 1533-position model. The record is from RNAcentral. Lineage: Bacteria; Pseudomonadati; Pseudomonadota; Gammaproteobacteria; Pseudomonadales; Pseudomonadaceae.
AUUGAACGCUGGCGGCAGGCCUAACACAUGCAAGUCGAGCGGAUGAAGGGAGCUUGCUCCCUGAUUCAGCGGCGGACGGGUGAGUAAUGCCUAGGAAUCUGCCUGGUAGUGGGGGACAACGUUUCGAAAGGAACGCUAAUACCGCAUACGUCCUACGGGAGAAAGCAGUGGACCUUAGGGCCUUGCGCUAUCAGAUGAGCCUAGGUCGGAUUAGCUAGUUGGUGAGGUAAUGGCUCACCAAGGCUGCGAUCCGUAACUGGUCUGAGAGGAUGAUCAGUCACACUGGAAUUGAGACACGGUCCAGACUCCUACGGGAGGCAGCAGUGGGGAAUAUUGGACAAUGGGCGAAAGCCUGAUCCAGCCAUGCUCGCGUGUGUGAAGAAGGUCUUUCGGAUUGUAAAGCACUUUAAGUUGGGAGGAAG